RNAcentral lists this ribosomal RNA (109 nucleotides) under Nosema mylitta. Its description in RNAcentral is "partial small subunit ribosomal RNA". Lineage: Eukaryota; Fungi; Microsporidia; Nosematidae. The record is from RNAcentral.
CGUCGUCUAUCUAAGAGGUAUAUCUAUGACAAACUUAUAAAGUGAUAGAUAGUACUAGAUCUGAUAUAAGUCGUACAUGGUGCUGUGGAGAACCAUAGCAGGAUCAUAA